Molecule: long non-coding RNA, 279 nt
Filed under: Lathyrus oleraceus (garden pea)
Lineage: Eukaryota; Viridiplantae; Streptophyta; Magnoliopsida; Fabales; Fabaceae
Description: Pisum sativum (pea) long non-coding RNA (PSAT_LNC017476)
Source: RNAcentral
UUGUCUUCAUUCUAAAAUCAAUCACAACUCAUCAAAUCCAAUUUUCCGCCUAAGGGCAUCCAAAACCUUUUAACAAAGGACGUGUUACUUCCGUUCUACCUUGGUACAAACAACGCUUAAGCCUCUCAUGUGCGAGCAUACAAGUCAUGCUUAACUGAUAGAAUGUAAUCCAAGCUCAUCCAUUCUACCGCAAAUAAACAAACGCUUAAGUCUCUCAUGUGUGACCAUACAAGCUACGUUAACUGCUAGAACGCGAACCUUAACAAUGUUCAUUAAAAC